UACGUAGGGUGCAAGCGUUAAUCGGAAUUACUGGGCGUAAAGCGAGCGCAGGCGGUUUUGUAAGUCAGAUGUGAAAGCCCCGGGCUCAACCUGGGAACUGCGUUUGAAACUACAAGGCUAGAGUAUGGGAGAGGGAGGUAGAAUUCCACGUGUAGCAGUGAAAUGCGUAGAGAUGUGGAGGAAUACCAAUGGCGAAGGCAGCCUCCUGGCCUAAUACUGACGCUCAUGCU
Molecule: ribosomal RNA, 230 nt
Filed under: uncultured microorganism
Description: partial 16S ribosomal RNA
Rfam family: Bacterial small subunit ribosomal RNA
Source: RNAcentral